UCAGUUCUUCAUCCAACAUGGGUACUCCUGGGUCCAGGUCUCUGCUCUGUGAUGGACAAGCCUUUGCCACAACAGUGGAGUUGAAGCUGGGCCUGGAGUCCACACCUGCAUAUUCCUCUAGCUUCUUGGAGUCUUGUGGACAAUGGCUGAGGAGAAAUAAUGCAGACGACAUCU
Vulpes vulpes (red fox) is the source of this 174-nucleotide small nucleolar RNA. Its record names the gene SNORA73. It matches the Rfam family "Small nucleolar RNA SNORA73 family". Rfam says of the family: U17 (SNORA73A and SNORA73B) also known as E1 belongs to the H/ACA class of small nucleolar RNAs (snoRNAs). Vertebrate U17 is intron-encoded and ranges in length from 200-230 nucleotides, longer than most snoRNAs. The record is from Ensembl. NCBI's taxonomy places the organism in Eukaryota, Metazoa, Chordata, Mammalia, Carnivora, Canidae.